GCGAGGAAACCCGCUGAACUUAAGCAUAUCACUAAGCGGAGGAAAAGAAACCAAUUUGGAUGCCCCUAGUAAUGGCGAGUGAAAAU
This 86-nucleotide ribosomal RNA is filed under the name Caulerpa cupressoides var. elegans. RNAcentral's name for it is "partial product 28S ribosomal RNA". It matches the Rfam family "Eukaryotic large subunit ribosomal RNA", at positions 15 to 100 of the family's 3401-position model. The record is from RNAcentral. Lineage: Eukaryota; Viridiplantae; Chlorophyta; Ulvophyceae; Bryopsidales; Caulerpaceae.